GUAAUAUUUUUCUUAUAUCUUCCAGACUUAAGUGAGAGAAUGGUGGGAAAGAAGGAAGAAAAUAAAGAAGCACCCAACUAAUUCUGAAAAACACAGCCAUUUAAGAAUUCUUCCUUGGGGCGCCUGGGUGGCUCAGUCAGUUAGGCCUCUGACUUUGGCUCAGAUACUCAAGAUAUACCCCAGACUUUGCAAUCUGACUACUGGCUGAAGCCUAUGACUUGGAAGCUAGUGACGCAAAGAAGCAGGGACAUCUGGUGGAGUUGGCGGUAUCCAGGUUCAGAAUGCUGAGGCAGAUGCUGUAGCAAUAGUAUCCAUCAUUUGGCUUUGGUGAGACAGGCAGGAAACAUUACACUCUGGCCUGUAAUUUAUAGAACAUUGAGCAACAAGAGACUACCAUGACAGAACUAGAAGAAUAAUGACAUCAUUCAAAGAUCCUGGAUUUGGCAUUAUUUGCUGUAUUGAUGAAAUCUUGGGACAUCUCCCUUGGGGGAGUAAGAAAAAGUGGAAAAUAAAUCACCCGUUUCAUCCAAUUUAUUUCUUCUGAGAAGCUGAACAGAAUGCUCAUAAGU
Long non-coding RNA from Suricata suricatta (meerkat), 569 nucleotides. RefSeq lists it as uncharacterized. The record is from RefSeq and is a predicted model, not a curated record. The transcript has 4 exons. NCBI's taxonomy places the organism in Eukaryota, Metazoa, Chordata, Mammalia, Carnivora, Herpestidae.